RNAcentral lists this long non-coding RNA (338 nucleotides) under Carica papaya (papaya). Its description in RNAcentral is "long non-coding RNA (CPAP_LNC012507)". Lineage: Eukaryota; Viridiplantae; Streptophyta; Magnoliopsida; Brassicales; Caricaceae. The record is from RNAcentral.
GUUAUUUAUCGUGAUUCAAUCUGGACCGUCCGUGCACGAUUCAAUCUACAUCGUCCGUGCGCGAUGUAAUCUGGGCCAUCCAUGCGCGUUUUUGAUCUGGGUCGUCCAUGCAAGCGGGAACAGAUCUCAGCCGUUCGAUCACGCGCACGUGGAUCGCCCACGUGGCUCCCUCCCGCGUGGCCUCCCGCAACAAGGUCUCUGCCACCUGGCGCGUCCUGGUUGGUCAGGGCUGUUGACCGAACAGUUGGCAUAGCAAUAUUUUUCUAAAUUACAUUUUGACCCAUGAUUUUUUAUUUUUCUUUCAAAAAUAUCUCUAGAACCCAAAUUUUCACCUUUUU